UACGUAGGCAGCGAGCGUUGUUCGGAGUUACUGGGCGUAAAGGGUGUGUAGGCGGUUCUCUAAGUUUGGUGUGAAAUCUCCCGGCUCAACCGGGAGGGUGCGCCGAAAACUGGAGGGCUAGAGUGCGGGAUGGGAGAGUAGAAUUCCUGGUGUAGCGGUGAAAUGCGUAGAUAUCAGGAGGAAUACCGGUGGUGUAGACGGCUCUCUGGACCGCAACUGACGCUGAGACACGAAAGCGUGGGUAG
This 245-nucleotide ribosomal RNA is filed under the name uncultured bacterium. Its description in RNAcentral is "partial 16S ribosomal RNA". It matches the Rfam family "Bacterial small subunit ribosomal RNA", at positions 524 to 768 of the family's 1533-position model. The record is from RNAcentral.